This 611-nucleotide long non-coding RNA is filed under the name Sorghum bicolor (sorghum). RNAcentral describes it as "long non-coding RNA (SBIC_LNC001095)". The record is from RNAcentral. Lineage: Eukaryota; Viridiplantae; Streptophyta; Magnoliopsida; Poales; Poaceae.
UCUAUCUUGGUUAAGUUAGAGCGUAGUUGGUUCUUAUUCAAUUGUACUCUUAACCGGGUGAAAGCUUCAACGGUAUCCGUGCGCUUGCGGAUUAUCUGUGUGCGUAUAAAUACCAUAGUACACUCUAGUGCCAUGCUGGGGAUGACAACCUAGUAUUCAAGUGGUGUUAGCAAGUGUCAACAUCCGCCUCCCUCGCCGGGGGAUCCGGUGUCUUCCGCCUCGUCUCCUGCCCCCUUUCCUCAUGGGGACGCUCGCCCUCUUCACGGCUCAAAGGGGGCGGUGACCUGGGUCUUGCUGACCCGGGGGUCGACAACGCCCCCCUCUUCACGGCCUUCAGGGGUGCGAGCCAAACUGAAGUCACCUUAUGCUUCCGGCUGAUGGAGAUGACACGAAUUAGAAGAAAGAGAAAAACAAAAAAUUAAAGAAAAACCAAACAAUAGUGUUUACCUCGCCCGAGGGGCAGCACUCUUUUGGGAACUCAGAGCUCCCUGGGAGCCUCCUGGAGCGCUAGGGAUCAUCGGGCGAGUCCCCGUCUCCCCUACAGAUGGCACGGGGGCUCCGACGGUCGUCCCAGCCCGCAACGCCUCUGGCGAGCCCUCCACAUCCACCCC